RNAcentral lists this ribosomal RNA (439 nucleotides) under uncultured bacterium. RNAcentral's name for it is "bacterial SSU rRNA". It matches the Rfam family "Bacterial small subunit ribosomal RNA", at positions 958 to 1397 of the family's 1533-position model. The record is from RNAcentral.
AACGCGAAGAACCUUACCCAGGCUCGAACGGCAUUGGACAUCCUGCGAAAGCAGGCUCCCGCAAGGGCCGAUGUCGAGGUGCUGCAUGGCUGUCGUCAGCUCGUGUCGUGAGAUGUUGGGUUAAGUCCCGCAACGAGCGCAACCCUUGUCCGCUGUUGCCAUCACGUUAUGGUGGGCACUCUGCGGAGACUGCCGGUGAUAAACCGGAGGAAGGUGGGGAUGAAGUCAAGUCCUCAUGGCCUUUAUGGCCAGGGCUACACACGUGCUACAAUGGCAGGUACAGAGGGAAGCCAACGCGCGAGCGGGAGCCAAUCCCAGAAAGCCUGUCGUAGUCCGGAUCGGAGUCUGCAACUCGACUCCGUGAAGUCGGAAUCGCUAGUAAUCGCAGAUCAGCAUUGCUGCGGUGAAUACGUUCCCGGGCCUUGUACACACCGAUAGC